Molecule: non-coding RNA, 22 nt
Filed under: Arabidopsis thaliana (thale cress)
Lineage: Eukaryota; Viridiplantae; Streptophyta; Magnoliopsida; Brassicales; Brassicaceae
Source: RNAcentral
CCUGUUCAGAUGAUGCUUGCCG